RNAcentral lists this unclassified non-coding RNA (406 nucleotides) under soil metagenome. RNAcentral describes it as "partial contains 5.8S ribosomal RNA, internal transcribed spacer 2, and large subunit ribosomal RNA". The stretch from base 1 to 121 matches the Rfam family "5.8S ribosomal RNA", at positions 35 to 154 of the family's 154-position model. The record is from RNAcentral.
GAUGAAGAACGUAGCGAAAUGCGAUAAGUAAUGUGAAUUGCAGAAUUCAGUGAAUCAUCGAAUCUUUGAACGCACCUUGCGCCCUUUGGCCAUUCCGAAGGGCUUGCCUGUUUGAGUAUCAUGAACACCUCAACUCUUCAUGGUUUUCCAUGAUGAGCUUGGACUUUGGGGGUCUUGCUGGCCUGUGGGUCGGCUCCUCUCAAAUGAAUCAGCUUGCCAGUUUUUGGUGGGCAUCACAGGUGUGAUAACUAUCUACGCUUGUGGUUUUCCACCAGGGUAACCUUCAGCAGUGGAGGUUCACUGGAGCUUACAAAUGUCUCUCCUCUGUGAGGACAGCCCUUUGAAUGUUUGAUCUCAAAUCAGGUAGGACUACCCGCUGAACUUAAGCAUAUCAAUAAGCGGAGGA